CAGCUUUUAUUUUGGGUAUUGGUUUAGCCACUGGCGCGCCUGAUACCCAACCGGCGCCCACUUUAAACGGGUCGCCUUCCAGAGUUUUCCAAAACCCCCGGUCGGCCUCCCGACCGGGGG
Molecule: small RNA, 120 nt
Filed under: Pseudomonas thivervalensis
Lineage: Bacteria; Pseudomonadati; Pseudomonadota; Gammaproteobacteria; Pseudomonadales; Pseudomonadaceae
Source: RNAcentral